Molecule: ribosomal RNA, 250 nt
Filed under: uncultured bacterium
Lineage: Bacteria
Description: partial 16S ribosomal RNA
Rfam family: Bacterial small subunit ribosomal RNA
Source: RNAcentral
GACAGAGGGUGCAAACGUUGUUCGGAAUCACUGGGCGUAAAGCGCGUGUAGGUGGCUUGGCAAGUCGGGCGUGAAAUCCCGGGGCUCAACCCCGGAAGUGCACUCGAUACUGCCUCGCUAGAGUCCUGGAGAGGAAGGUGGAAUACUUGGUGUAGAGGUGAAAUUCGUAGAUAUCAAGUAGAACACCGGUGGCGAAGGCGGCCUUCUGGACAGUGACUGACGCUGAGACGCGAAAGCGUGGGGAGCAAAC